Molecule: long non-coding RNA, 214 nt
Organism: Mastomys coucha (southern multimammate mouse)
Lineage: Eukaryota; Metazoa; Chordata; Mammalia; Rodentia; Muridae
Exons: 2
Source: RefSeq, a predicted model, not a curated record
CCCUGAGAUCCUGGUGUGACGAAGCUCUGGGGGACGUGAGACUGGCUGCUGAGUUCGCAUACAAGAAAUAUCUGCUCAUCCAUAUCCAUGGCUUCCCUAUUCCAGGAAACAAAAAUAGCCUUGACGAACAUCAGCUGAUGAAUGGGUAAUGAAGAUGUGGUUUAUUUAUCCAAAAGGAAAUCAUUCAGCUCUUAAUAAAAACUAAACUCACAGG